Molecule: microRNA, 22 nt
Filed under: Echinops telfairi (small Madagascar hedgehog)
Lineage: Eukaryota; Metazoa; Chordata; Mammalia; Afrosoricida; Tenrecidae
Description: Ete-Mir-9851_3p* (star (passenger))
Source: RNAcentral
UGGCACCAGUACUGGCGGUGGC